This 571-nucleotide ribosomal RNA is filed under the name Kroppenstedtia eburnea. RNAcentral describes it as "bacterial SSU rRNA". It matches the Rfam family "Bacterial small subunit ribosomal RNA", at positions 27 to 506 of the family's 1533-position model. The record is from RNAcentral. Lineage: Bacteria; Bacillati; Bacillota; Bacilli; Caryophanales; Thermoactinomycetaceae.
GGACGAACGCUGGCGGCGUGCCUAAUACAUGCAAGUCGAGCGAUCUGGAGGUUGGAGAUUAGAGGUUAGAAGUUAGACGAAACCAAUCGGCGAAGCCGAUUGGAUGAAUCUGAUUUCCAACUUCCAAUCUCCAACUUCCAGGGAGCGGCGGACGGGUGAGUAACACGUGGGCAACCUGCCCGCAAGAYCGGGAUAACUCCGGGAAACCGGGGCUAAUACCGGAUGAUGCCUCUUCCUGCAUGGGRRGAUGCUGAAAGRCGGCCUUUGGCUGUCACUUGCGGAUGGGCCCGCGGCGCAUUAGCUGGUUGGUGAGGUAACGGCUCACCAAGGCGACGAUGCGUAGCCGACCUGAGAGGGUGAYCGGCCACACUGGGACUGAGACACGGCCCAGACUCCUACGGGAGGCAGCAGUAGGGAAUUUUCCGCAAUGGGCGCAAGCCUGACGGAGCAACGCCGCGUGAGUGAGGACGGCUUUCGGGUUGUAAAACUCUGUUCUUCGGGAAGAACGGUCGAAGGGUGAACAAUCCUUUGRCGUGACGGUACCGGAGGAGAAAGCCCCGGCUAACUACGU